Molecule: transfer RNA, 71 nt
Filed under: Gemmata sp.
Lineage: Bacteria; Pseudomonadati; Planctomycetota; Planctomycetia; Gemmatales; Gemmataceae
Also listed under: 4 other names
Description: tRNA-Gln
Rfam family: tRNA
About the family: Transfer RNA (tRNA) molecules are approximately 80 nucleotides in length.
Source: RNAcentral
UACCCGGUAGUGUAACGGUAGCACAAGAGAUUUUGGUUCUCUUGGUCCAGGUUCGAAUCCUGGCCGGGUAA